AACGAACGCUGGCGGCAGGCUUAACACAUGCAAGUCGAACGCCCCGCAAGGGGAGUGGCAGACGGGUGAGUAACGCGUGGGAACAUACCCUUUUCUACGGAAUAGCUCUGGGAAACUGGAAUUAAUACCGUAUACGCCCUACGGGGGAAAGAUUUAUCGGGGAAGGAUUGGCGCGCGUUGGAUUAGCUAGUUGGUGGGGUAAAGGCCUACCAAGGCGACGAUCCAUAGCUGGUCUGAGAGGAUGAUCAGCCACAUUGGGACUGAGACGCGGCCCAAACUCCUACGGGAGGCAGCAGUGGGGAAUAUUGGACAAUGGGCGCAAGCCUGAUCCAGCCAUGCCGCGUGAGUGAUGAAGGCCUUAGGGUUGUAAAGCUCUUUCACCGAUGAAGAUAAUGACGGUAGUCGGAGAAGAAGCCCCGGCUAACUUCGUG
This 431-nucleotide ribosomal RNA is filed under the name uncultured bacterium. RNAcentral describes it as "partial 16S ribosomal RNA". It matches the Rfam family "Bacterial small subunit ribosomal RNA", at positions 29 to 507 of the family's 1533-position model. The record is from RNAcentral.